This 800-nucleotide ribosomal RNA is filed under the name uncultured archaeon. RNAcentral describes it as "bacterial SSU rRNA". It matches the Rfam family "Archaeal small subunit ribosomal RNA", at positions 89 to 872 of the family's 1478-position model. The record is from RNAcentral.
CUCAGUAACACGUGGCUAAUCUGCCCUUGGGACCGGAACACCCCCGGGAAACUGGGGCUAAUUCUCGAUAGGUGAAGAACUCUGGAAUGAGUCUUUGCUUAAAAGACGUUUACGUUAUGCUCGUAGGCGUCGCCCAAGGAUGAGGCCGCGACCGAUCAGGUUGUUGGUGAGGUAAUGGCUCACCAAGCCUUUUACCGGUGCGGGCCGUGAGAGCGGGAGCCCGGAGAUGGGCACUGAGACAAGGGCCCAGGCCCUACGGGGCGCAGCAGUCGCGAAAACUUUGCAAUACACGAAAGUGUGACAGGGCUAUCCCGAGUGCCAUCCGCUGAGGAAGGCUUUUACCCAGUCUAGAACGCUGGGGGAAUAAGGAGAGGGCAAGUCUGGUGUCAGCCGCCGCGGUAAUACCAGCUCUCCGAGUGGUGUGGAUGUUUAUUGGGCCUAAAGCAUCCGUAGCUGGCUAAGUUAGUCCCUUGUUAAAUCCACCGAAUUAAUCGUUGGAUUGCGGGGGAUACUGCUCGGCUAGGGGACGAGAGAGGCAGACGGUAUUUCUGGGGUAGGGGUGAAAUCCUAUAAUCCCAGGAGGACCACCAGUGGCGAAGGCUGUCUGCUAGAACGCGCCCGACGGUGAGGGAUGAAAGCUGGGGGAGCGAACCGGAUUAGAUACCCGGGUAGUCCCAGCUGUAAACGAUGCAGACUAGGUGUUUGGACGGCCACGUGCCGUUCUAGUGCCGCAGGGAAGCUGUUAAGUCUGCCGCCUGGGGAGUACGAUCGCAAGAUUGAAACUUAAAGGAAUUGGCGGG